CCUACGGGAGGCAGCAGUGAGGAAUAUUGGUCAAUGGACGAGAGUCUGAACCAGCCAAGUAGCGUGAAGGAUGACUGCCCUAUGGGUUGUAAACCUCUUUUAUAAAGGAAUAAAACGAGGCACGUGUGCCUUUUUGCAUGUACCUUAUGAAUAAGGAUCGGCUAACUCCGUGCCAGCAGCCGCGGUAAUACGGAGGAUCCGAGCGUUAUCCGGAUUUAUUGGGUUUAAAGGGUGCGUAGAUGGGUUGUUAAGUCAGUUGUGAAAGUUUGCGGCUCAACCGUAAAAUUGCAGUUGAUACUGGCAGUCUUGAGUACAGUUGAGGUAGGCGGAAUGCGUGGUGUAGCGGUGAAAUGCUUAGAUAUCACGCAGAACCCCGAUUGCGAAGGCAGCUUACUAACCUGAGACUGACAUUGAUGCUCGAAAGUGUGGGUAUCGAACAGGAUUAGAUACCCGGGUAGUC
RNAcentral lists this ribosomal RNA (460 nucleotides) under uncultured bacterium. Its description in RNAcentral is "partial 16S ribosomal RNA". It matches the Rfam family "Bacterial small subunit ribosomal RNA", at positions 338 to 795 of the family's 1533-position model. The record is from RNAcentral.